This is a long non-coding RNA of Eriocheir sinensis (Chinese mitten crab), 2298 nucleotides long. RefSeq lists it as uncharacterized. NCBI's taxonomy places the organism in Eukaryota, Metazoa, Arthropoda, Malacostraca, Decapoda, Varunidae. The transcript is spliced from 2 exons. The record is from RefSeq and is a predicted model, not a curated record.
UAAAUAAUUUAUUCGAAACAUGCACGGGAAAUCUUACAUAUAUAAAGUGCAUGAUUACUUUGUCGGAAAAUACGGUUACAGGUACACCACAUCCUCGGCCCGUGCUCCGGUGAGAGAGAGAGAGAGAGAGAGAUUAGUCACAAGAGAAAAAAAAAUGAUAAAGGGAUCGUCUUGAAAACUGAGGCAAAACUUCGACAAACAGUAACUUCAUUUUCACGUCAUUCUCUUUUUGAACAUUUUUGACAUGAUUUAUCACUCACUCACUCACUCACUCACUCACUCAGACUUUCUCUUCGACCAAUCACUCAAUUUUUCAAAACUCAUCUUAAAAUUAAUUGAGAAAAGCUUACAGAUAACUUCAUUCUCUCAUCUUUCUCCUACAUUAUACAUUUCUUGGCAUUUGUUCCUUCACUCCUCCCUCACUCACUCACACACACAUUCACUCACUCACGCUUUUCUCUUCAAUCCACGUAACUCUUUUUCUCUCCACAUUCCUUUUCGUAUUUACAUACUUCAAACACUCCCACACUUCAUAUCAUUCCUCCAGUAUUUAUUCUCUCUCCUUCCUCUUCUCUCCUUCUCUUCCUUACACACACACACACACACACACACACACACACACACAUAUCCACUCACAUCCACUUACUGAUACUCUCUCUCUCUCUCUCUCUCUCUCUCUCUCUCUCUCUCUCUCUCUCUCAUCCACCUGACCCGAGAGAGCCAUUGUUAAGUUCGGUAUCGGAAAUAAAUAACUCAAUCCUCCUGGUAUCGGUUCGGAUCCCACAAAUGGCCGACCCGAUCCUCCUCUCCUCAGAUUAAUCCCCUGUUGAGCGCAGCAACGGUGGGAUCAUAAACCUGUGAAUCCUUGAAACGCUGAGCCGCUACUGAACCACUCGCAGUCUCUCUCUCUCUCUCUCUCUCUCUCUCACCUAAGGGCGUCUUUUUUUCUCUAUCCAUUCACUGUUAAGUCACACGAAUUUACAUUUUGCACAAUUUCUUUUUCUGCUUUAUUUUUCAGUCAGUCAAAUUGUUCUCUCUUUACCAUUUUCUUAUUUCUCAUUAUAUUUCUUUCUGCCAUCUCAUUUUUUAUUCUCAACUGUAUCCUUUCUAAUCCCUCGUCGCUUUUCGUUAAUAUCGUUUAUCAAUCAUUAUUAUCUACAUUUCUUUCCUUCGUUUUCUAUGUAUUUUCGACUAUGGAUUAUUACAUAUCUACCUUGUAUGUUUUGUUUUUUUUGUAUGAUAGUUCUGCUUCUUUAUAUCUUCAUUCUGUCCUGUCAGACUUCCAUCAUUUCUGUUUGUUUUACUUUAUCCCGGUCACCUCUUUUUUCACUGCGUCAAGUUUCAUGUCUUUAUCUUCAUCACUGUUCUUGGUAUGCACUGUCUGAGCUCAAGUACCCGUUAUUCACUGUCUGGUAACUGGGCCUCAUCUUCAUUUUCCUUCCACUGUUAUCACGUUCACUUUCAUCAACUGUUUGCUCUCCGUUCAGUGUUUUUGGUUUGCAAUUUACUGUUUUGAUUUUCUGUUCUUCAAUCACUGUUCUGUGUUCACUCCUUGUCCACUGUUCUUCGUUCAUUGUUCUUUACUAUUUCUUUCGCUGUUGUUCAUUUGCCACCUCCAUCAGUUCGUCCUACACCGUUUCCUUCACUUUUUUUUUACUUAACUAACUUAUGCUCACUUGUUAUCCACUGUUUUCUUCCUGUUCACUGUUUUAUUCACCGUUUUCCAUGUAUCAUCUAUUUCAGUUUUUCAUUCACUGCCUUUCCUUCCCUGUUCCUACUUUACUCUUCUAUCUUCACUUCUUUCAGACUCUCUGUUCACUGCUCUCCACUCUUGUAACCCAUCCAUGGUUCUCCCUUACCUCCUUUCCUUAUUAUUAAACCUUCUAUUCACUGCUCUUCCCUUGCUUUUUUCCUCUCUGUUCCUGCUUCACAACAUCAGCUUAAUAUUUUUUGUAGGGGUCACACUUCUAAUGAGUUUUUUGCUGCAUCAUUCCAACGAUUAAAUAAAGAAACAUAAUCACUGCAAAUCCUAUGUGUAAGCAACAAGAGAGGCAGUCUAUUGCGUCACUAGUUGUCGUAAAAGUUGUUGUAAUUGUGUUUCCUCUCCUAACUUUGCACACACUUUGAUGUUAGCCUUUUUCUCUCUCCCUUUGGCCCUUUGAAGACAAGGUUGUGCGUCAAAAUAUUUUCGUGUAGUGUGUUUUAAAUUACACACACACACACACACACACACACACACACACACACACACACACACACACACACACACACACACACACACACACACACACACACUCA